Molecule: ribosomal RNA, 481 nt
Filed under: Rahnella sp. Z3S-41
Lineage: Bacteria; Pseudomonadati; Pseudomonadota; Gammaproteobacteria; Enterobacterales; Yersiniaceae
Description: bacterial SSU rRNA
Rfam family: Bacterial small subunit ribosomal RNA
Source: RNAcentral
AGAUUGAACGCUGGCGGCAGGCCUAACACAUGCAAGUCGAGCGGCAGCGGGAAGUAGCUUGCUACUUUGCCGGCGAGCGGCGGACGGGUGAGUAAUGUCUGGGAAACUGCCUGAUGGAGGGGGAUAACUACUGGAAACGGUAGCUAAUACCGCAUGACCUCGCAAGAGCAAAGUGGGGGACCUUCGGGCCUCACGCCAUCGGAUGUGCCCAGAUGGGAUUAGCUAGUAGGUGAGGUAAUGGCUCACCUAGGCGACGAUCCCUAGCUGGUCUGAGAGGAUGACCAGCCACACUGGAACUGAGACACGGUCCAGACUCCUACGGGAGGCAGCAGUGGGGAAUAUUGCACAAUGGGCGCAAGCCUGAUGCAGCCAUGCCGCGUGUGUGAAGAAGGCCUUAGGGUUGUAAAGCACUUUCAGCGAGGAGGAAGGGUUCAGUGUUAAUAGCACUGUACAUUGACGUUACUCGCAGAAGAAGCACCGG